This 389-nucleotide ribosomal RNA is filed under the name Chrysochromulina sp. RNAcentral's name for it is "partial small subunit ribosomal RNA". It matches the Rfam family "Eukaryotic small subunit ribosomal RNA", at positions 582 to 975 of the family's 1831-position model. The record is from RNAcentral. Lineage: Eukaryota; Haptophyta; Prymnesiales; Chrysochromulinaceae.
AUUCCAGCUCCAAUAGCGUAUAUUAAAGUUGUUGCAGUUAGAACGCUCGUAGUCGGAUUUCGGGGCGGUCCGACCGGUCUGCCGAUGGGUACGCACUGGUCGGAGCGUCCUUCCUGCCGGAGACCGUGCCUACUCUUAACUGAGCGGGGGCGGGAGACGGCACUUUUACUUUGAAAAAAUCAGAGUGUUUCAAGCAGGCAGCUCGCUCUUGCAUGGAUUAGCAUGGGAUAAUGAAAUAGGACUUUGGUGCUAUUUUGUUGGUUUCGAACACCGAAGUAAUGAUGAGAAGGGACAGUCAGGGGCACUCGUAUUCCGCAGAGAGAGGUGAAAUUCUCAGACCCGCGGAAGACGAACCACUGCGAAAGCAUUUGCCAGGGAUGUUUUCAUUA